This 262-nucleotide long non-coding RNA is filed under the name Elaeis guineensis (African oil palm). Its description in RNAcentral is "long non-coding RNA (EGUI_LNC013680)". Lineage: Eukaryota; Viridiplantae; Streptophyta; Magnoliopsida; Arecales; Arecaceae. The record is from RNAcentral.
GUGAGCCUCACCUUAUCAUCUAUCACCUUAUGGACAUUUGCAAUAUGAGUCAGCAUAAAAUAAAUGUUUGAUGACAUAACCACAUCAUGACAUGAAAAAUUAGGGCAAAAAAGGAUGAAAGAAGAUGAAAAGGAUUGCUGGAGAAAUUUUGAACAUUUGAAAUUGGAUUUCUGUUCAUGAAUCUAAAUAAUGGCUGGCUAAAGAUAUAAAGAUGCCAUCUUCUUUAUAGGGUCGUGUUGGGGCAAUCGGAUCUGCUCCCCCC